RNAcentral lists this ribosomal RNA (253 nucleotides) under uncultured bacterium. Its description in RNAcentral is "partial 16S ribosomal RNA". It matches the Rfam family "Bacterial small subunit ribosomal RNA", at positions 524 to 776 of the family's 1533-position model. The record is from RNAcentral.
UACGGAGGGGGCAAGCGUUAUUCGGAAUUACUGGGCGUAAAGAGCGCGUAGGCGGCGCGUUAAGUCGUUCGUUUAAUGGAAAGGCUCAACCUUUUCACUGCGGACGAUACUGGCGCGCUGGAGUGCCGGAGAGGAAAGCGGAAUUCACGGUGUAGCGGUGAAAUGCGUAGAUAUCGUGAGGAACACCAGUGGCGAAGGCGGCUUUCUGGACGGUAACUGACGCUGAGGCGCGAAAGCCAGGGGAGCGAACGGG